AUUGAACGCUGGCGGCGUGCCUAACACAUGCAAGUCGAGCGGUAACAGGUGUAGCAAUACAUGCUGACGAGCGGCGAACGGGUGAGUAAUGCUUCGGAAUCUACCUUAUGGUGGGGAAUAACUAGCCGAAAGGUUAGCUAAUACCGCAUACGUCCUACGGGAGAAAGCAGGGGAUCGCAAGACCUUGCGCCAAAAGAUGAGCCGAAGUCGGAUUAGCUAGUUGGUAGGGUAACGGCCUACCAAGGCGACGAUCCGUAGCUGGUCUGAGAGGACGACCAGCCACGCUGGGACUGAGACACGGCCCAGACUCCUACGGGAGGCAGCAGUGGGUAAUAUUGGACAAUGGGAGAAGCCCUGAUCCAGCGACGGCGCGUGUGUGAAGAAGGCCUGCGGGUUGUAAAGCACUUUUAGUGGGGAUGAAAUGUGCAGGGUUAAUACCUCUGCAUGUUGACCUAACCCACAGAAAAAGCACCGGCUAACUCUGUGCCAGCCGCCGCCGUAA
This 502-nucleotide ribosomal RNA is filed under the name uncultured bacterium. RNAcentral describes it as "partial 16S ribosomal RNA". It matches the Rfam family "Bacterial small subunit ribosomal RNA", at positions 30 to 523 of the family's 1533-position model. The record is from RNAcentral.